This is a long non-coding RNA of Lytechinus pictus (painted urchin), 3572 nucleotides long. RefSeq lists it as uncharacterized. The record is from RefSeq and is a predicted model, not a curated record. The transcript has 4 exons. NCBI's taxonomy places the organism in Eukaryota, Metazoa, Echinodermata, Echinoidea, Temnopleuroida, Toxopneustidae.
ACACACACACGUACGCCGGCCGUGCAGAUACAAUCAGCUUAAUGCUUCGAAGGCCAAGGGCUAGCUAAGCUUCAAGUUCAUGAAAUUCAGGCAAUUAACUGCAUUCAACUAAUUUUUUAACUGAAACUAUAGGAGAACAGACAAAUUAUGGAACUGUCAGGAGAUAGUUAACGGUACAAAUUUUUAUUGAUAUAUGGCCAAAAUCAAAGAAGGGUGUUGGUAACCAACAAGUUAGAGGAGACCUCAAAACAGGAGCUGCUUAGGGUGGUGUGCACAACAUUUGGAGUGAAAGAAGAAGAUAUUUUUCCUGCAGACAUGGCAAGACAAAUUCUACGAUUUUGCAGACAUGGAAGAGGACGAACUUGUGACAGGGCCAUUGAGAGUAAAAAUUACAAACUACCUGUGGUCCUCGGUGCACAGCAACUGGUGAAUGGUGGAGAGCACAUAGAGUGGAUGAGCACUGAAAAAAAGGCAGCCAGACUUCAAGAGAGUUGAGUUCUGCAUGCAGAAGACACUGGCAGACAGAAGGGCAUGGAUCAUAAAUUCUGUCCCUCGGCCAAGGAUCACUGAUGACCGACUGAAGUAUCCUUGGCUCUUUGAUGAGGAUCAGGUAAUCUAUGCAGAGUUUUCUCACCAGAUUUUGAAAUAUACUGAAUAUCCCGAGAUUGAUUGAAUGCUGACGGACGUUGAUAGAGUUGCUUACUCAAUGUUUCCCUAUUACAGUGAUUUACAGAAUGUAUUGGAAACUUCUAACUCCACAUGGAUUAUCCAAACUUGCUCAUAAACUUAAUUUAUUCAAGACUGCGUAAGGUGUGAACUUCAUAUGUGGUCCUUGUAUGUAAAAUUCAGGUUAUUUUCUUGUCAAAGCAAUAUCACCUAAACAGCUUGAGGUAUGGAUGUAAAAACUUGGUGUUUAACAUGUACCAUCAUUAGGAAGACGAUUUGAAUGGAUUUUGGAAUAUGUAGGUCAAAGGUCAAUUUGUGAAAUUUAUUUGUUUAAACACAUGGGCCCGUAUUCUGAUAGCAGGUUUAAUUUAACCCUAGUCUAAAGUUAACCCUAGUUUAAUUAAACCUCCUCUAAACCUCACCUCUGGUCCAAGUGUAGUUUAAUUAUUUUGGUAUUCUGAUAGCCGGGUUUAACUAAACCUGGGUUAAACCCGGGUUUAAAAUUCUUUUUGAAAAUAAUAACCCUCUUUUAACCAAGACUAGCACCUUUUUGUUAAAUUACUGCUGCAGGGGUGAUUGCAACAAAGUUGAAAAAAUGGCACUAAAGUCGUUUUUUCUUAAAAAAAUUGAUAUUAUGGAAACUAAUAACAACUAUUGUAGUGAAAGAAAAGCAUUCAUCACCCAUAUAUGACUAGAGUCUAGACCCUAGUCCUAGAUCUAAAACAAUAAGCUAAGAGGUCGACGUCUUUAUUCUAACUUUAAGUAAGGGAAUUUUUUAUAACUUUUGAGAGUAGUCUUGGGUCUAAAUAGGCCUAUAGUUAGAUCUGGCCUAGGCCCAAUUGUUUGGAGGAGAAUUGAACAUAGUUUUUACUAACUAAGUUAGGCCUAGGCCUAUUUGAUUUUUUUUUUACUUUCCUGAAGCAAAACAUAGUCUAGUGAGUUAGUGGAGCAACCAAGACUGAAGAUAAAUAUUGGUCUAGGCCUAGAACAGCAUUCAUGACUUAGGCUGGCUUAGCUUAGGGACAGGGAUAGAUUAUAGUACUAUUCUAAAGUAACCUUAGGCAUAGGCUAGAUCUAGUGGAAUGGAUCUGAUUUGUCUUAGACAAAAAGCUUUGAACAGUCUCUGUAUUGGUUGUUCCGCUGAAUUAUGACACUCUACGUUGGCCUCUCUCACCAAGGCAAUGUUAUAUGACAGUAAAAUGUCAGAAUUUUUAAAAUAAAUCCCCAGAAACAACGGUUAUUCCUGUCUACAGACAGUACAGUGUUAGAUCUGAUUAUCGCUGCAUUGCUUGCCAAGUAACUGGGCCUGGCUAAAUUUAGAAUUAGUCCAAGACAUCUCUCUACUCCUGUUUUAGGUCCAUAUCUGUUUCUUUGAAGAGUUUUUUAUUCAAACAUUUUUGGGGACUCGUUUAGGUUUCCAGAUCCAGGACUAGAAAACAGGCCCAAACCUAGACCAACAGCUCAGUCUUGACUAACCCAGGGAGCUCCCUGGGUUAAGUCUUGACUAGACUAGGCCUGGCCUAGAUUUAUGUAAGAAUUUAGAUCUAGGCCUAGGCCUAACGUUAGUCUGUGCUAUAUAUUCAUUCUAGAUUUCUAGCCUAGCCCUAACUGGCUGAUCUAGUCUACUGUAUGAUCUAGAAUCUCUAACGCUGGCCUAGAUCUAGACUAAAUAACUUAGACUAAAAGUUAAACCCUAUCUAGACCUAGAACUAGAUCUAUAUCAAUGUAAUACAUGUAAUAGGUCUAGAUCUAGAGAUUUGUAGACUCUCAACAUGCUCAAUGUAGAUUCUAAAUAAAUAAAAAAGUAAAUGUUGGCUAGUCUCGAGGCUAGUCUACAGUAGAUCUAAUCAUCUAACGUUAGGCCUUAAAAUAAAGUAGGCUGGAGAUCUAACGUUGGAUUAUUUCUAUUACUAGAUCUAAAGGAUCUAGACCUAGAUCUAAAGCUAGGGACUGUAGUGGGACUGUAGUUCGAGAUCUAAAGUUAGAGGUCUAGCAACCCCCUUAAAACUAGUACUAAGCCUACAGCUACAUGUUGUUCUCUGUGUAGCCAAACAACAGUUAGCAUUGUCUUAAUCUUAUUUUGGUUUGUGUAGUUACCGUACAAACACAUAUUUUGAUGAAUGAGAAAAUGUGCCUUGCAGAUUAUUUUACCUCAAGUCAAAACCUCGUGUUCUAAAUUUCAUGAGCAUACAUGUAGGCCUAUGUCAUAAAAUGAAGAAGCAGUUCAAUCCAUUAGAUGUGUUUACACAUUUAUUGAUUUAAUAUGCUGUCACCAUGGCAACACAGUUUCCAACACACACAAAUAUAUGUCUUGCAGAUCUAUACCUCAAAACCAAUGUGUGAGCCAACUUUUAUAAGAAUUAGUUGAAAACUAAUGAAGGAGUUCAGAUUUUCACCUAAUUUCAUUAUGUAAUAUGUUGUUACCAUGGCAACAUGAUUUCUCAUACAUACAAAAAUAUGUCUUGCACAUCUUCAACUUAAGACUAAUGUGUGUGCCAAAUUUUAUGAGCAUUGGCUGAAAAAAGAUGGGAGUUCGAACUACCAAAUUCUCACCUUAUUUUCUUUAUUUGAUAUGUUGUUACCAUGGCAACACGAUUUCUGAUACAGACAAAAAUAUAUCUUGGACAUCUUCACCUCAACAUUAAUGUAUGUGCCAAAUUUCAUGAGAAUUGGUUAAAAACUGAGGAAGUAGUUGGAACAGCAAGAUUUAUACAUAGUUUUUGCCAUAAUAUACCGUUACCAUGGCAACACAAUUUCCGACACAUGGAAAUAUGUGUCUUGCACAUCUUUACCUCAAAACCAAUGUGUGAGCCAACUUUCUUGAGAAUUGGUAGAAAACUGAUAAAAAUAUUUUAAACGGCAAAAUUUUUGCCAUAAUAUACUGUUUCCAUGGCAACACAAUUUCC